RNAcentral lists this ribosomal RNA (631 nucleotides) under Setaria italica (foxtail millet). RNAcentral's name for it is "eukaryotic LSU rRNA". The stretch from base 196 to 351 matches the Rfam family "5.8S ribosomal RNA". Lineage: Eukaryota; Viridiplantae; Streptophyta; Magnoliopsida; Poales; Poaceae. The record is from RNAcentral.
CCAAACAGACCGUGAACAUGUCAUCCAUCCCGCACGUGGUUCUACCCGUGCAAGGCCCCCGACCUUUCCGAAGGAGAGGGGCCGCAAAAGAACCCACGGCGCCGAAGGCGUCAAGGAAAACUGAUAUUGCCUUGCUCGGGGCUGUGCUCGGCUUGCCGAGCACACCUCGUGCAGCGAUGCUAUCUUAAUCCACACGACUCUCGGCAACGGAUAUCUCGGCUCUCGCAUCGAUGAAGAACGUAGCAAAAUGCGAUACCUGGUGUGAAUUGCAGAAUCCCGCGAACCAUCGAGUUUUUGAACGCAAGUUGCGCCCGAGGCCUUCUGGUUGAGGGCACGCCUGCCUGGGCGUCACGCCAAAAGACACUCCCAACCCAAACCUGGGGAAGGACGUGGUGUUUGGCUCCCCGUGCUGCAAGGCGCGGUGGGCCGAAGUUUGGGCUGCCGGCAUAACUUGUCGGGCACCGCACGUGGUGGGCGACAUCUAGUUGUUCUCGGUGCAGUGUCCUGGCAUGCAGCUGGCUUAUUGGCCUCAAGGACCCAUACACGACCGAAGCGUUUAGGCGCUCGGACCGCGACCCCAGGUCAGACGGGACUACCCGCUGAGUUUAAGCAUAUCAAUAAGCCGGAGGAA